AGUGGCAUGGAUUUGGUAAUAUGCAGUUAUUGCAGAGCAUGAAAUAUUUUAGAUUUGGUGUAUGAAAUCAUAGAAUGGGUUGAGGAUUUAGAGUUUGAAAAUAGUCAGAAAAUUUUAGUAUGUAGCGGUAUAAGUUUGAAAAAGGUUUUUAGGCAAAGUUGCUGGAUUUUCAAGAUAGACUCAUAAUAAGGGUAAUUCCACCAUUUUUAUUAGUGAUAAUCAGUCUGAUCAUUGCAUCCCAACGCGUAAUGACUGGCAAGCCAUUCAUAAAUCUUUUAUUGAAGUCUUUUUAUUUGGCUUUAGUUAAUAUAUGAAAUAAAGCAUAGAGCCCCUUGCAAUAUAUAUUCUUGGGUGGUAUGCUUGUCCAUUCAGCAUUCAUCACUUAGUGAACACUUUCUUAUUUGUAGGUGGCAGCAGCUUCUCAUUAA
This 428-nucleotide unclassified non-coding RNA is filed under the name Hevea brasiliensis (rubber tree). Lineage: Eukaryota; Viridiplantae; Streptophyta; Magnoliopsida; Malpighiales; Euphorbiaceae. The record is from RNAcentral.